RNAcentral lists this ribosomal RNA (459 nucleotides) under uncultured bacterium. RNAcentral describes it as "partial 16S ribosomal RNA". It matches the Rfam family "Bacterial small subunit ribosomal RNA", at positions 338 to 795 of the family's 1533-position model. The record is from RNAcentral.
CCUACGGGAGGCAGCAGUGAGGAAUAUUGGUCAAUGGACGCAAGUCUGAACCAGCCAUGCCGCGUGCAGGAAGACGGCUCUAUGAGUUGUAAACUGCUUUUGUACGAGGGCAAACGCAGAUACGCGUAUCUGUCUGAAAGUAUCCUACGAAUAAGGAUUGGCUAACUCCGUGCCAGCAGCCGCGGUAAUACGGAGGAUUCAAGCGUUAUCCGGAUUUAUUGGGUUUAAAGGGUGCGUAGGCGGUCGGAUAAGUUAGAGGUAAAAUCCCGAGGCUCAACUCCAGCCAGCCGUUGAAACUGAUGAUCGUGAGUGGGCGAGAAGUAUGCGGAAUGCGUGGUGUAGCGGUGAAAUGCAUAGAGAUCACGCAGAACUCCGAUUGCGAAGGCAGCAUACCGGCGCCCGACUGACGCUGAAGCACGAAAGCGUGGGUAUCGAACAGGAUUAGAUACCCGGGUAGUC